UCUACCUACGGGGGGCAGCAGUGGGGAAUAUUGGGCAAUGGGCGCAAGCCUGACCCAGCAACGCCGCGUGAAGGAAGAAGGCUUUCGGGUUGUAAACUUCUUUUAUCAGGGACGAAACAAGUGACGGUACCUGAUGAAUAAGCCACGGCUAACUACGUGCCAGCAGCCGCGGUAAUACGUAGGUGGCAAGCGUUAUCCGGAUUUACUGGGUGUAAAGGGCGUGUAGGCGGGACUGCAAGUCAGAUGUGAAACCCAUGGGC
Molecule: ribosomal RNA, 260 nt
Filed under: uncultured bacterium
Lineage: Bacteria
Description: partial 16S ribosomal RNA
Rfam family: Bacterial small subunit ribosomal RNA
Source: RNAcentral